Drosophila serrata is the source of this 371-nucleotide long non-coding RNA. RefSeq lists it as uncharacterized. The record is from RefSeq and is a predicted model, not a curated record. NCBI's taxonomy places the organism in Eukaryota, Metazoa, Arthropoda, Insecta, Diptera, Drosophilidae.
GGAAUCGGUGGGGGGCUCACACACCUCAACAUCGUUUUGCAUGAUUCCCGCAGAAGUGGACAGAAAUACUAAAUGCUGGCCAGGAAAGACCUUGUUAUCGAGGGUUACUAGUAGUUAUAAAAUGCAAGCAAAUUGUUUUAAAGUAUUCUAUAGAAUACCUUCUGCCAGGGUAACUUUUUUCUCCCAAAAGAAAAACGCAAUCCCAGUUGGCCAACAGAAAAAAAACUUCUUUUGGGCCACAAGAACAUCCCAUGGCAAAUUCCCCCGUUCACAUUCACAGUCACCCGCCAUAAAGUGGACAAUUCAUGGCUCCGCGGUGGCGGCAUCCACAGACACAACCCCACCAUCGGCACCACCGACAACAACUUCGU